GCGGCUGUCAGUGAGGCGUCUUCUCCCAGGUGCAGGGACGGGGGUGCACAUGGGGGAGGGGGAGGGGCCCAGGGUCCCCUGCCCCGGAAACUCCUGCCCGGAAGGCACCGACAUUUCUUAGAAUCAGUCCAUAGACCAGGCUUCGGAAUCCUAGUCCAACUCGGCAGUUUACUAACGCUAACUUAUCCAGGCGGCAAAGAUGCUCUGUAUCUAUCUCCAUCUGUUCAGGGCUUUGGAAUUUUCUCUCGGCAAUAUUUGGUACCUAGGAUAACACUGAGGCCUGUGGGCUAGAUUCCACACAUGGCCUGUGUUUGUAAGACCCCAGAGCUAAGAACCGUGCUGGCAACUUUAGUUGUAACACCCCUGCACGCGCGCGCACACACACACACACACAGAGAGAGAGAGAGAGAGAGAGACAGAGAGAGACACAUAUGUGACAGAGAUCUGUCAUCCACAAAGCUAUAAUAUAUAUGUAUUAUCGGGCUUUUUUCGAGAAAGUUUGAAGCCACUGCUCUAUGGUUUUGGGACUCUAGGUCUUCCACGGCUUUUGCCAAUUUGUUUGUAAGUACUCGAUGGGGUUUGUGAAUUUCAUUUUUCAAUGGUCCAUUGGUGGUUUUCAGGAAAUACUCUAUAUGAUCUUGUGGCCUGGGACCUUGCGAAAAUCACCUCACUUCUGAUAGUUUCUCUGUAGGUUCCUUAAGAUUUUCUACAAUAUAUAAUGUGUCCUAUGAAUCAUGAUUUUAUGAAUAGAGCUAGUUUUCCUUCCCUUUCAAUCUGCACGCCUGGUAUUUCUCUUUCUUACUUUUACCUUUGCACAGAGCAACAGCUGUCAGCACGGCAUCGUCAGGCUGUUCUUUCCAAUGAAGACGCACCGCCGACCACACAGCUGUCUGUGAAUGGCCCCGCGGGUACAAGAACAGGCGAUACACGGCAGGUGGGUGCAGGGUCUCAAGCCUUACCCAAGGGCACCCACAUCACUUACAGUAAUUCCGUAGACCGGCUGUCAGGGUCCUGACUGAAAAUGACAACUUACCAAUAUUUCCCAGUGACAAGUGUGAUGUGUGCAUAUACACAUAUAUUGUGCAAUGGGCCGUAUACACGUGGUGGUCUUGGCUGGUACACAGACAAAACAAUUGCCUGUUGUGUAUUGGCCUUUAUACUGGAAACUCAAUUCAUUGCUCAAUUCAUUGCGUGCUUCUUGAUAGUUUCUUUGUACGUGCCUUUGGAUUUUCUACAUGGGCAAUCGUGUUCUAUGCCUAAAGGCACUUUUCCUUCUUUUUUUUUUUGAGUUUAUAGAUUUAAUCUGAGAGAGAGAGAGAGAGAGUGCAACUGGGGAGGGGCAGAGAGAGAAUCCCAAGCAGGCUGUGCACUAUUGGCACAGAAUUGGAUCCCACGACCGUGGCAUCAUGACCUGGGCCCACAUCAACUGUCUGAUGCUUAACGGACUGAGCCACUCAGGUGCCCCUGUAAUUUUCUUCUCUUUUGCGAUUUGGACCUAGAAUGACUUAGCAAACUUUCCUUCUCUCCUUUCUGAAAGGAUUUGUGUCACAUUGGUAAAAUAAUGUCAUUUUAGGUUGCAUAGAGUUCAUCCGGGGGGAAAGAAAACCCUUGGAGGUGGAAAUUGGUUCCUUGAAAGGUGUUUAUGAUCUCUUGUUAUCAUUUUCCUGUCUUGCAGAUGGCCAGUCAGACCCCCUUUUAUAUUGGUAGUAUUGCUAAUUUGAAUUUUCUGAUUUCUUUUGCAGUCUAAGUAGGUGUUUAUAAAUUUUCAUCAACCUUGUAAAAAUUCCUCCUUUAGCUUAGUUUUCAGGACUGUGUAAUCUCUAUUUCUACUCUUAGUUUUAUUAUUUCUUCAUUUCCAGUUCGUUUGGAUUUAAUAUACGCUAGCUCCUCUUAGGACGGAAUCUUGAACCAUUGUUUUUGAUUAUUCUUGUUUUUUAAUAUAGACACUUAAAGCUGCAAAAUUCUCUGAAGCAUUCUGCUUAGCUGUGUUAUUUAUUUCACACAGUUUUAUUUGGUCUCCUUUAAUUAUCAUUCAGUUUAAAAUAUUUCCUGGGGCACCUGGGUGGCUCAGUGGGUUAAGUGUCCGACUUCGGCUCAGGUCAUGAUCUCACGGUCCUGAGUCCCAGCCCCAUGCUGGGCUCUGUGCUGCCAGCUCAGAGCCUGGAGCCUGCUUCAGAUUCGGUGUCUCCCUCUCUCUCUGCCCCUCCCCAUCUCGCACUCUGUCUCUGUCUCUUUCUCUCUCUCUCUCAAAAAUGAAUAAACAUUAAAAAAAAUGAAAAUUUUUUUUCCAAUUUUCCUUAUUUUUCUUUGACACAUUCGUGAUGAAAAAGUGUGUUUUGUAUUCUUUCUGAAUAUUUGAGAAUUCUUACUCAUAUUAUUAUUGAUUCUACUUUAAUUAUAUUGUAGUCGCAGAAAACAUUCUACCUGGUGUCCACUGGGUCAUGAUUGCUUUUCCUUCCCUGACUUUUCUUUUUUUUUUUAUUUUUUUUUCAACAUUUAUUUAUUUUUGGGACAGAGAGAGACAGAGCAUGAACGGGGGAGGGGCAGAGAGAGAGGGAGACACAGAAUCGGAAACAGGCUCCAGGCUCUGAGCCAUCAGCCCAGAGCCCGACGCGGGGCUCGAACUCACGGACCGCGAGAUCGUGACCUGGCUGAAGUCGGAUGCUUAACCGACUGCGCCACCCAGGCGCCCCGUCCUUCCCUGACUUUUCAUGUGGUAUUUCCCCAGCCUGAUAGUAAUCCGUGUCUACCUGGCCACUUCCUUCUUCUUCUUGAGGUGUAACUGAUGUCCCAUCCAUCCCAGACUUCGUUUUACGUCCUUCCUACCUGCUCCGAAACCCCCACCACUGCCCCUCCCGUGUGAUAUUCGGUUGAUUCAUCCGACUCUCACCAUAUUGUACAUUCCUGUGCAGCAAGGGACACCUGUAAACUCUGUAUCACUAGGGUCAACCGCGAUGUGUAGGACAGAGUCACCACCAAACAAAUGUUUAAUAACAUAUACGUAAGAGACUGAGGGACAUGCCGGCGUUUUUUUCUUUCCCCCAUCUUAAGCUGGUUUCCGUGGGUUGGAAAUGUGUUAGAAAAGAUUCUGUUUUCAGCAGUAAAGUCUAGUGGCCACACAGCAUGACACUAAGGUGAGCCAAGCUUGAGUGACUUUGUAUAUCUUGCAGUUUGAUAGUUCUGUGGGUCAGAGGAGGGGAAGCCUUGUCGGUUUUCCAAAUAGAACUUAUGCAGUUGUUUAACCUGAAAAGACAACCAUUUCUGAUUCUUUAAAGCAGCAUGAGCGCAAUGUCUGUAUGUUGACCCCCGACUUAAAUUUUACAAAAUUAUAAAGCAGGCAUGAGUCUUCCUGUUUCCCGCCAAGCCCGUGCUCACUGUGCAAAGUGUGAACGCGUGGGGAUUAUUGGCAGAGUCAAAAUUUAAGGAAGACUCAUGUCUAAGUGAGUCCAAGAUUCUAAAUGCUUCCAAGACUAUUUCUAAAUGACUAAAGUUGAACAGUGUGGUUUGUUUGGUGAGGGUGACGUGGCCUCCAGUGGGGGCAGGUAUUCGGAGAAGCACAGGAGGAAGAGGAGAGAGAGAGUCUCCUCCGUCUGCACCUGGCUUUCUCUUGGGCUGCUGUCCCUCACACUCACCACACAGACUUCGGAGGGCAGCUCAUGCUGUCAGUAGUGGGGCACCUCCACCCCCUGUUUCCUGGGCCCCGGAGCUUUGCAGACUCACCCCAUCGCCACCUCAACCCAUCGCCACCUCUACAGGUCAGUUCUUCCUCCCUCGUUGAGUUAAAGCCGCCAAAUACGUAAGCGGAGGACAAAUGGACAAGAACGACGUAUGUGUAAGGAUAUUAUAUCUGGGAAAGAAGGUAAGGACCCGUUGAAGCCAAUGGGUAAGAGGAGAGGGACAGCUGUAGGCAGCAGUGGGUGUCCUGCCAGUUUUGAGACUAUGGCCUAGAGCUGGAUUCUUCCAAGCCAACAGUCGAAACCAGAGUGUUGCACGCUUGAUAUUCAUAGAUCUCUCCCUUCUCUCCACAGUGGACCUUUCAAGGCAGUGUGUUGACCUCUGGCCAGUCUCAGCGGAAUCCACAAUCUUUGAUACCUACACAAACACUGAGCUGGUGGGGCUCCCGCUUGCUCUAGGGAAAUGAAACAGGUUAAGAUUGUUUGAUAUAACUAGUUGGGCCUGAGACCGUUCCCAGCACAGAAAAUCCAUUAGGCGGGGACGAUGGUUGCCCGCCAUUUGGAGAGGAGGAUUUUGCUUCCUGGUUGCCGAGAUCCUAUUCUUGCCCAAGAAGACAAUGAUUGGGUUGCUGCCCCCACGCUUGUGUCCCCAAGGAAUCCCUGGGCAGGUGACAAGGAUACCCCAAAGCAAGGCUGCUCCUGGCCGGACCCACUGAAGAGGCACAUAU
Molecule: long non-coding RNA, 4402 nt
Filed under: Lynx pardinus (Iberian lynx)
Lineage: Eukaryota; Metazoa; Chordata; Mammalia; Carnivora; Felidae
Source: RNAcentral